GUCAUUACUUCCAUGUUUCA
RNAcentral lists this microRNA (20 nucleotides) under Ciona intestinalis (vase tunicate). Its description in RNAcentral is "cin-miR-4006a-3-3p". Lineage: Eukaryota; Metazoa; Chordata; Ascidiacea; Phlebobranchia; Cionidae. The record is from miRBase by way of RNAcentral.